AGGAACACCAGUGGCGAAGGCGACCACCUGGACUGAUACUGACACUGAGGUGCGAAAGCGUGGGUAGCAAACAGGAUUAGAUACCCUGGUAGUCCACGCCGUAAACGAUGUCAACUAGCCGUUGGGUCCCUUGAGGACUUAGUGGCGCAGCUAACGCAAUAAGUUGACCGCCUGGGGAGUACGGCCGCAAGGUUAAAACUCAAAUGAAUUGACGGGGGCCCGCACAAGCGGCGGAGCAUGUGGAUUAAUUCGAUGCAACGCGAAGAACCUUACCUGGGCUUGACAUACACCG
RNAcentral lists this ribosomal RNA (292 nucleotides) under Prymnesium parvum. RNAcentral's name for it is "partial Bacterial small subunit ribosomal RNA". It matches the Rfam family "Bacterial small subunit ribosomal RNA", at positions 702 to 993 of the family's 1533-position model. Lineage: Eukaryota; Haptophyta; Prymnesiales; Prymnesiaceae. The record is from RNAcentral.